UUGUGAUUUCUUCAAGUUAGCACGUAUCGUAGUUCCUCUUCUUUUUUCCAUUCAUGGUGUCUGCCCAAAAUGUCCUUAUUCUCCCCUCAAAAGUUGAGUCACUCGACAUUCUGAGGCAUGACUCAACAUCGGGCCUUCUCAUCCACCCCACAUGUGAGGAAAUGCUGGAAGACGUCACAGCGGGCCAGCACAGGGUGGCUGGUCAUGUGGUUCAUCCACCAGAUGAGGCCUUUCCUUCGCUUGGAGAUGAAGUCCUCCUCAAAGCGGCCAGUGGCCUGUUUUUCCGGCAGAUGUGGAACCGAGAUGACGGGAAAGCGCUCCACCAGCCGAGCGUAGAGCCAGUCGAAGUGUUUGUAUCUGCGAGGAGUGAGGAAAUCGGAAAUCAGACACAUCAACAGUACUAACAGACAGCUUAUGCAGUCAUUACUGAACUGAUGUCGUCCUUAACAGCUAAUAUGUUCAUUCAAAUCUGGAAUUUUAAUUGUUCAAAACUGAGGCACUCUGCGCGUUAUUGCCUCUCGAUCAUACACUAAAUCGUAAAUGCCUUGUGUGUAUUUACACAAAAUUAUAUAAUUGAAUUAUUGAUCUAAUUGUACAUAAAAAGAAAAAACAUUCAGGAUUUUACUAUCUUUUACUGUCUUUUUCUGCUAUCAUUCAUACAGGAAUGUCCUUGGAAAAAUACCUACCCAUCAUUACAAAAAAUAAUUGGUUAAUAUCUAGAAGGCUGUAAUCAUUUUGACAUGGUAAAAUAGGACAUAUUUGACUUUGUGUGGGUAGGUGAUGCACUGACCAAGGAAGAAGAAAGUCCAUUUUGGUGAGGAUGCGCACAAAGCCUGGCUUGAAGCAUGGUCCGCAGAAUGGGAGUCCAGAACGCUAGCCAUCAAGCAAAAAGCCUGUGCCGUCACCUUGAUGUCCAGCACGACUCCUAAGAAUAUCAAGGUGGCUCUUGCAUCCUUUCUCUGUGGCCUUUCGUGGAAAAGGUUUGGACACCCCUGCACGAUAGAAAACAGUUCAGCCUUGGCGGAGGUCUGUACUCGACCAAAUAAUAUUGUAGUUAUUGUGUACUUCUGUCCAUCAAGUUAAUUCAGCAUUGCUAAAACAACACAUUCAAUGGUGGCCUUUUGCACAGUACGGUAACCCCCUUGAGGUAGUACUAACAGGGCCAUGAGACGGCAGGGAUAAGAGAACAGCAGUGUGUUGGUUUAGGGACGAAAGACAAUGAAACAAUGAGAAAAGUUAGAGGAAGCACAGGAUUCCUGAGGGCAAAAGGCCAACCUUGGCUCUGCUUUGGCCAUUUGUUGGAAACAGCAGUGGGAGCAGGCCACAAGCCACACGACCAUUUACUUAAAGGCUGAGAGGAACCACUUUGGCCUCAAGGAAAAGGACUUUCCUACCUGCGGUUGACUUGAACAUUGGUGUGCGUCGGGGUCAAGCCGUAGGACAUGUAGCUCUUCAUGCCUUUGAACUUAGUCUGCUUGGUGGGGUCGUCAAUGGUGCAUGUGAAAGGGUACGGGUCCUCCUGCCACUCAGGUCCAUGCUUUCCCAUGACGACACAGAUCCUGUCCCCAUCUUUGACAAAAGCAGCCGCCUCCCCAAGCAGGAAGGCCUCUCCUCCAGACUUGACAAAUGUGGAGAACCUGUUAAGGUUCCUUCCCACUGUAGCCGAGCUUUUGGCCUGUGGUUGCUGCGAGCUGCCCCGCCGGCCCGGCAGGGAGGUGGUCACAGGGUACAAGGAAGGGGGCGAGGUACCCAUACCCCUCGGGACAUCAGUUGCUGGGGAACUAUCAUCCCAGUCGUCGUCCCAGUCGUCAUCACUCCCCUGGCUGGUGUGGAAGCUGCCCCCGCCGCUGCCAACACUCACUGCUUCAGGUCCUUUCUGAGAAGAGGUGGCAUGGGUGGGGGUCACUACUUUAGAAGAGAAACCGUUGUUGUUGUUGGAGGUGAUGCGGUCCCUAAUGAUCUCCACAUAUGAAGCUGGGAAGAGGCCAACAUCUCCCCUGCUGUUCUCCCCUUCCAACCAGCCCUCCAGCUCCUCCUCGCUGUACAGGGUCACCAGCUCGUUCUCACUUAUGGAGAUCUCCCCUUGGUUCUCCGAGUGGAAGUCGUACAACACCCUGGCCUUCAGCGCCAUUCUCAAGAUCUCUGUUGGCUUUGCUCAAGAACCUGCUUUCAUUCCUCACAUAAACAGUCUGAGGAAACUCGAGCUAGCAGUGCCGAUCUAAACUUUUCCACACUUUUGUCAAAAACCGAAUGUGCGUAAUCCGUGCGUGGAGAAAAAAAAGGCAGAGCAGAAACGCUAUCAGAUAUCCGACAACCAACUCCUCUCCUCUCUCUCAGUCCCUGCCUCAAAUAUCAUUUGUUUCCUCCGAGGCGGACAAAAACAUGACGUCAGAUGGACUUUUUAAAACAAGUUGCCAGACCUGCGAUGAGUCGAUGUUGGUGUUUUUAAUCGGAUCAUAAAAAGGGCAGAGGUCCUUUUUUUCCUCCUCUUUCCGAGAUGCUUGAAAGUUAAAGA
Molecule: long non-coding RNA, 2515 nt
Organism: Doryrhamphus excisus (bluestripe pipefish)
Lineage: Eukaryota; Metazoa; Chordata; Actinopteri; Syngnathiformes; Syngnathidae
Source: RefSeq, a predicted model, not a curated record